Molecule: long non-coding RNA, 378 nt
Filed under: Equus caballus (horse)
Lineage: Eukaryota; Metazoa; Chordata; Mammalia; Perissodactyla; Equidae
Description: lncRNA (ENSECAG00000050096.1)
Source: RNAcentral
CAAUAUUCUUUCAUGUGAUGGUCACUAUAUUCAAGGUAUAAUUUAUGCUAAUGGAUGACUCUCCUUUCUAACAGAAACAGAAAAACUUGUUGGUUAAUUUUCGAGUGAUGUCCCGAUGAUGGAACUAAAUCUGAACGUUAAAUUUAGUUUGAAAAUGUCCUUAUGGUGAAGGAACAAAAUUUCGGAAGCUUGGCCAUACGAUCCUGGAGUUCUGAACAUCACUUUCCGUCGCCGACUUGAAAGACGAACAAGGCCAGUCUGAACAGCUCCAUCUGAAGCCCCCUUUUCUGUACUACUCAUGCAGCUUGCUUCAGACGACCCUACUGCCUUAACGUGGUGCAGGCUGCAUCCUGUUUUGAAGUUAUCCGAGGAUGUACU